Long non-coding RNA from Oncorhynchus tshawytscha (Chinook salmon), 507 nucleotides. The record is from Ensembl. NCBI's taxonomy places the organism in Eukaryota, Metazoa, Chordata, Actinopteri, Salmoniformes, Salmonidae.
UAGGCAUUAUGUAUGAAGUGCUAUACAAUGACAAGAGGGGAAAACAACCUCAGGUCCUCUUCUGCUUUCUAAUAUUUAACAACAGACAGAAAAGACUUGGCCGACGAGUGAACGUCAAGGUGCGGAACAGGGUGUGUGUCUCACUGGCAUACACACCAUGUCAAACUGAAUUAAAGACGUCUUACUUAACACACAGGCCAUUCGAUCCGAGGGCUGACAAUGAUGCCAUCAAAUCCACAGUAUGUGGCACCACUAUACCAAACCUCAAGACUUUUCUUGUUGUAGGUGUUGUUAUUGUUGCCUCUCUGGUUGUCAUCUUAUUGUUUGGGUGAUAUGAGGAAAUCUAAAGAAAGAUGAGGAUGAGGAAAACGUCUCCGCAAUAUACACAAAAUGUCUGUGAUUGGUUCCAUCUCUGUAUCUGUCACCAUAUUCCUACAGCAAAAUCAAAACAUUUUGCUGGUUGAAUUCAAAAACAUGGUGCUGAGUGCAGCAAAAUAAAUUGCCAUC